Molecule: ribosomal RNA, 274 nt
Filed under: uncultured bacterium
Lineage: Bacteria
Description: partial 16S ribosomal RNA
Rfam family: Bacterial small subunit ribosomal RNA
Source: RNAcentral
ACACGUACUGUGCGAACGUUAUUCGGAAUCACUGGGCUUAAAGGGUACGUAGGCGGCCUAUCAAGUCAGGUGUGAAAUCCCACGGCUCAACCGUGGAACUGCGCUUGAAACUGAUAGGCCUGAGGAAGAAAGGGGUGUGUGGAACUUCUCGUGGAGCGGUGAAAUGUGUUGCUAUGAGAAGGAACACCGGUGGCGAAGGCGACACACUGGGUCUUUUCUGACGCUGAGGUACGAAAGCCAGGGGAGCGAACGGGAUUAGAAACCCUAGUAGUCC